UCACCCCUGGGUUAUUCGCCAGCUGCGAAAAGUCCUCGAGCCUAUUUUACGAAUUUAGGGGAUUUCUCGCGAUGUUGUGUGCAUGUCUGCUCCGGCAGAAAGCCUAAUUCAUUGCAGGAGUCACCGCCUUGAACUGUUUGGUUCAAGGUCUUCCGUAGCAGCGGUAAUUUGGGGGCUUA
This 179-nucleotide non-coding RNA is filed under the name Reinekea thalattae. RNAcentral's name for it is "6S / SsrS RNA". It matches the Rfam family "6S / SsrS RNA". From Rfam's summary of the family: E. coli 6S RNA was the first non coding RNA to be sequenced, but its function was unknown until recently. It consists of 184 nucleotides that fold into an extended hairpin structure with a large single-stranded internal bulge. Lineage: Bacteria; Pseudomonadati; Pseudomonadota; Gammaproteobacteria; Oceanospirillales; Saccharospirillaceae. The record is from Rfam by way of RNAcentral.